This 1353-nucleotide long non-coding RNA is filed under the name Hordeum vulgare. RNAcentral's name for it is "long non-coding RNA (HVUL_LNC003465)". The record is from RNAcentral. Lineage: Eukaryota; Viridiplantae; Streptophyta; Magnoliopsida; Poales; Poaceae.
CCGAAGACAUGCUCCAUUACACAAAGACAGGACGGGGAUUCACUUAUACAUUUUUGUUUUUGGCUAAUUGGCUCCGUGUGGUUCGACUUUUCCUUUUUGGUGAUGUACUUUAGAGAAAUAAUUCAUAAUUAACCUACUAAUUCUUUUGGUGAACCAGCGGGGCGAAUUGCCAGUUGAUGCAUUCAGACUAUCUGCCCCUGCAUGGAUAUUGUACAUAGGGAUAUCUUCUGAGCCUGGUGGAGGGUAGGGCAGGUAUUCCGCCGCAUUUUCUCCUGCAACUCAACAAUUUUAGGACCUGCUGUCUUAUGGGAACUAGGGCUAUAAUUUCUCUUUCUUCUGCUUUUGAGUGUCCAUCUAGGUAGCUCUAGAUCUAGCUUUGGUAGCUGCAAACGAAUGUUCUUCUUCCUCUUCUUUUGUUAGGGGGUAUGUGGUCAUGACAAACACAUCAUAUAGGCACCAAGUUAGCCUCAUAUAACUGAAAAUGGAAGAUUUUGCUACUGCAAUAUUUUGCUCUGAGAGUUGGUGGCUAGCGCAAUGCACUCCCAUGUAUCUCCAUGUAGCUCUUAACAGUUCCAUCAGUCUAUAAUAAUGUACAUUGAUGUUCCAUGAUUGACUAUUUCAUAAUACUAAACCACUUGGUAUUUAUGGUGCAUACAUAAGCAUUGCUUUGAGAACCCGUUGUCAGAAAAUUUGGAUAUUUGAUAGUCAGGUUCACUUGCAUUAUUAACGGGCACUUUGCAUGGGCGCGGCACCUCUGCCUACUAGUUCUUACAUUAUACUUCUCCUUCCUUUGCUCAGCUCAGUUUACAUGAGCUGACGGUUAGUGUUUUUAUGCUCGUCAAUUGGCAAUUGAUAGUCAUCCUGUUUAUUACCUACCUCUCAGGUGUUGUUCUUUCUCUAGCUUUGACACAUUGAUGCUUGUUUAGUUCCUGUUAUGUACUGUAGGCAGAAUAAAAGAAACAUCGGCAUGGUUCUAAAAUCUGUCUAUUUGUUGCAGGCCCUGACAACAUGGAGCACUUGAAGAGGAUCGCCGAGUAGAUGCAGAAGCAGGUUGCUGCUGCACGCGCACUGCAGGCGCCAUCUAGCCCAAGGAGGAGAAUGACUCGGAGUUUGGAUGUAUUAUGUAAACCUGAAAGAUGUAUUAUGUGAACCUGAGAGAUAUAUUAUGUGAACCUGGGAGAUGUAUUGUGUUAUGUAAACUUGGGAGAUGUAUUAUGUGAUGUUAUAUGAUGGAUGAUGUCACACCCUGUGUUUCACCAUCAGUGUUUUGAGUUGCAAAAAUCAGGGUUUGUUAAAAAAAUUCUAAUGAUGUUGUGAAUGCUAUGAAUGCCUUCUAUGAAUGUAUGCUUGUUU